GAGAUCUUAGCUCGGGAUAGGCUGUUGGGAUCUUAUAAGGUGAAACCAGUCAUUAAAAUGCUGAAGCAAACGCUAGUUGGAACAGGGGCUUUGCUUGUUGCAGCAGUCUCAUUAUUCAUAUUUGCAACACCAGUAGAAGAUUUUUUCCGCAAUACUUUCACAACAAACGAGAACUCAUUGAGUUCCACCUCAACAAACAGCACAAAUAAACUAGGCAUCAGGAAAGAAGAACUGUUGCGCUUGCCACUGGAAGUCAAGGAGGACGAU
This 267-nucleotide unclassified non-coding RNA is filed under the name Hevea brasiliensis (rubber tree). The record is from RNAcentral. Lineage: Eukaryota; Viridiplantae; Streptophyta; Magnoliopsida; Malpighiales; Euphorbiaceae.